CGUAGGGGCAAGCGUUAUCCGGAUUUACUGGGGUGUAAAGGGAGCGUAGACGGACGGGCAAGUCUGAAGUGAAAGGCAGGGGCUCAACCCCUGGACUGCUUUGGAAACUGUCCAUCUAGAGUGCCGGAGAGGUAAGCGGAAUUCCUAGUGUAGCGGUGAAAUGCGUAGAUAUUAGGAGGAACACCAGUGGCGAAGGCGGCUUACUGGACGGUAACUGACGUUGAGGCUCGAAAGCGUGGGGAGCAAACAGGAUU
RNAcentral lists this ribosomal RNA (254 nucleotides) under uncultured bacterium. RNAcentral describes it as "partial 16S ribosomal RNA". It matches the Rfam family "Bacterial small subunit ribosomal RNA", at positions 526 to 779 of the family's 1533-position model. The record is from RNAcentral.